This 439-nucleotide ribosomal RNA is filed under the name uncultured bacterium. Its description in RNAcentral is "partial 16S ribosomal RNA". It matches the Rfam family "Bacterial small subunit ribosomal RNA", at positions 339 to 795 of the family's 1533-position model. The record is from RNAcentral.
CUACGGGACGCAGCAGUGGGGAAUACCGCACAAUGGAGGAAACUCUGAUGCAGCAACGCCGCGUGGAGGAUGACACUUUUCGGAGCGUAAACUCCUUUUAUAUAGGAAGAAGAUGACGGUACUAUAUGAAUAAGCGCCGGCUAACUCCGUGCCAGCAGCCGCGGUAAUACGGAGGGCGCAAGCGUUACUCGGAAUCACUGGGCGUAAAGAGCGUGUAGGCGGAUUAAAAAGUCAGAAGUGAAAUCCUAUAGCUUAACUAUAGAACUGCUUCUGAAACUCUUAAUCUAGAAUAUGGGAGAGGUAGAUGGAAUUUCUGGUGUAGGGGUAAAAUCCGUAGAGAUCAGAAGGAAUACCGAUUGCGAAGGCGAUCUACUAGAACAUUAUUGACGCUGAGACGCGAAAGCGUGGGGAGCAAACAGGAUUAGAUACCCCUGUAGUC